This is a long non-coding RNA of Helianthus annuus (common sunflower), 308 nucleotides long. RefSeq lists it as uncharacterized. The transcript is spliced from 3 exons. The record is from RefSeq and is a predicted model, not a curated record. NCBI's taxonomy places the organism in Eukaryota, Viridiplantae, Streptophyta, Magnoliopsida, Asterales, Asteraceae.
CAGGAGCAAGAAAAGGGGCGAUCCCCACUUCUCAAACCCUAAAUCCUGCUUAAACUCUCAAUUGAAGGAGCAAAUCUGGUCCAAACGAAAAUCCAAGCUUAGAAUCGUGAUCCUCAUCGCAAGAGGAUUAUAAGGAACGGGCGCAGGAGCGUCAAGCGGACAAGCGGGUGGCGAACCACGUCAAAAAGGGCUACUUUGAAGGUGACGUAAUGGAUCUUACGGAUGGCGGUCGAGCGAAUAAUGAAGAACCGAACACUACAUUUUGAAAGCUUCCGCAAUAUUUUAAAUCUUUAGUAGUCUUAUGUAUG